RNAcentral lists this ribosomal RNA (95 nucleotides) under uncultured marine bacterium. Its description in RNAcentral is "partial small subunit ribosomal RNA". The record is from RNAcentral.
AUACGCGAGAAACCUUACCAGGGCUUAAAUGUAGUGGGACAGGUCUAGAGAUAGACCCUUCUUCGGACUCAUUACAAGGUGCUGCAUGGCUGUCG